RNAcentral lists this ribosomal RNA (413 nucleotides) under uncultured microorganism. Its description in RNAcentral is "bacterial SSU rRNA". It matches the Rfam family "Archaeal small subunit ribosomal RNA", at positions 459 to 872 of the family's 1478-position model. The record is from RNAcentral.
CAGCCGCGCGGUAAUACCGGCGGCCCGAGUGGCGGUCACUAUUAUUGGGCUUAAAGCGUCCGUAGCCGGGUUGGGAAGUCCUCCGGGAAAUCUGGCCGCUUAACGGUCAGAAUGCCGGAGGAUACUCCCAGCCUAGGGAGCGGGAGAGGCCGAGGGUAUUCCCGGAGUAGGGGUGAAAUCCUAUAAUCCCGGGAGGACCACCUGUGGGGAAGGCGCUCGGCUGGAACGCGUCCGACGGUGAGGGACGAAGGCCAGGGGAGCAAACCGGAUUAGAUACCCGGGUAGUCCUGGCUGUAAACGAUGCGGACUUUGUGUCGGACAAGCUAUGAGCUUGUCCGGUGCCGGAGGGAAACCGUUAAGUCCGCCGCCUGGGGAGUACGGCCGCAAGGCUGAAACUUAAAGGAAUUGGCGGG